GUGAAUCAUCGAAUUUUUGAACGCAAAUUGCACUUUCUGGUAUUCCGGAAAGUAUGCCUGUUUGAGGGUCAUUUAAAUAAAAAUCGGUGUUGUUCCUGCCUUUCUUGUUGACGCGCCGGAAUUGGGUCGUCUUCCCUUCGUUUAGGUGACUUAAAAUUUUUGCUUGAUUUUCGAACGUAUUUAAAUCCCUUACGUACGUUUAGGUUUU
This 208-nucleotide unclassified non-coding RNA is filed under the name Glomus sp. RNAcentral describes it as "partial contains 5.8S ribosomal RNA and internal transcribed spacer 2". The stretch from base 1 to 71 matches the Rfam family "5.8S ribosomal RNA", at positions 84 to 154 of the family's 154-position model. The record is from RNAcentral. Lineage: Eukaryota; Fungi; Glomeromycota; Glomeromycetes; Glomerales; Glomeraceae.